Xenopus laevis (African clawed frog) is the source of this 2720-nucleotide long non-coding RNA. RefSeq lists it as uncharacterized. NCBI's taxonomy places the organism in Eukaryota, Metazoa, Chordata, Amphibia, Anura, Pipidae. The record is from RefSeq and is a predicted model, not a curated record. The transcript has 2 exons.
AGACUGGAAUAUGAAUAGGAGAGGCCUGAAUAGAAAGAUGAGCAAUAAAAAGUAGCAAUAACAAUAAACGCGUACCCUUACAGAGCAUUUUGUUUUUAGAUGGGGUCAGUGACCCCUAUUUGAAAGCGGGCAGAGUCAGGAGGAGAAGAAGGCCUGAAUACAAAAGUCAUUUAAAAAAUAACAAUAAAACAGUAGACUCAAAGAGCAAUAGUUGUUUUAGCUGAUGGGUCAGUGACACUGCCGCUUAAAAGCUGGAAAAAGCCAGAAGAGGUAGGCAAAAGGAGAUUUUGUGUACUCCCUGUUAAAUCUCUUUAUCUUCAGUCACUUGGGGGACAGUGGGGUAUAGCUGGCACCUCUAGGAGGCAGGACACAAUAAAAAAAAUAGAAACUUGACCCCUCCUGCUAUACCCCUCCUCUGUAGGCAGAGACACUCAGUUUCGUUGUGUCCUCAGGAGGUUAGGACCGUCUCCUGCAUUCAGGAGUAUUUUACUAUUUAUUUUGCUCUUCUUUUUAUUUCAUUACAAUUCCUUCACAUUAUAUGGAGCUGGACAGCUACACUGAGUAGUCUGAUCCAUUACUUGAGGAUGUCACCGGGGUCUCUUGUGCUCUGCACCGACCAUCCAGCAUUAAUUCCCUCCCUCUGACGUCCAGAGAGAGGAUGCGCUGGCCGGGACACAGGGCUGAGGUAUAGCCAGGUUCAUCCUGUGGCUCAUUCCUCCUUAUAUGCCUCCAGCAUCCCUACUCUGGGAACUCCUGCUGUGGCUCAGCAGUAUAGGACAGGCAUGGACUGGGAGUCAAAAUAGGCCCUGCCCUUCCAAGUACAUAGAGGCCCAAACAGCCCCCUACCAGCCCACUAUAUGGUAACUUUCUAUGGAACCACACAGCAUCCCCUCUGGCAUUUGCCAGAACCCACAGAUUGCCAGUCCGGGCCUGGUAUAGGAUACUUUGUUAGUUCAGACCCAGGCAGUAUGUUAAUCAGCCUCCACCAAACACACAGGCAAUGGGAAUGGCAAUUAUCACCGGUUGCGCACCACUAUUUUACAAGCGACUUCACCAGGGCUUUCUUUCACUCUACCUGGAGAGGCAACGGCUGGGCCAGAUUUUGCGCUUACUGUACACGCACCUGGUGCGCAACCUGGAAGUGCGAGCUGGUGCCUUAGGCGCCAUUUUUCUAAGGCGCACGUCGGCACCAUACGUCACUGCUAGGGGAGGAGCCAUUCUUUGUGCUCUCCAUUGCGUGCCCAGGCAGCUACUUCCCAUUGAUUCUGGAGGAGGUUCCUCUUCCAGCGACACUUCAGUCUCCAUUACUAGCAGACUCACCACGCUGGGCAGAGCUCUUCCCAAGCUUCUCUAGAGUGCAGCCCCCCCCCCCAUUUUUUCCUAGAACACAACAGGGCAGUACUUUUGACACAGUGGGGUUUUUAGCUAUUGCCGCCCUGUGUCCCCCAAGCAGACCUGGAGAAAUUAAUUUUAAAGUGAACUACAGCUUUAAAGGGAGUAGUUUGCCUUUUACAUAAACCUGUUUUUUUGCAACUUAUUUGUCUCUUCUCAGUUAAAAUGCCAUCUCGUUGUUAGGGGGGCACUGACCCCAGCAAGCAAAAGAAGAUUGCUCUGAGACUACAAUUUUACUGUUUUUUUGUUUUUUUUUUAAUGCUCUCUAUUCAGAGUUAAUUUUUGUUCAGCAGCCAAUUUAAAAACAACAUGAAAUUAAAGUGGAAACAAUGUGCAAAUUAUCACAGAAUAUCACCUACCCUUUUUUGGGGGGUGGGGGUUGUCUUGGGUUCCAAUUUAGAUUGCAGAAUAAGAUCUGUGACUGAAAAACUGGGUUAGAACCGGUGUGGACCACGUGCCUUGUAUUUAAUGUUUUCUCUUGCCUAGAUUGGGGGACACAGGCACCAUGGGGAUAAAGAUCCUGCAGCUGGAGAGCAGACACUAAACAGUUAAAUGACUCCUCCUCCUGCUCUCUUCUUUAUCCCCCUGCCUACUUCCUGUUCUCCUCAAUUUUAUUUUAGUGUCCUCAGAAGAAGGACUGACACUAGUGGCUCUGGAGCAAGUGUUUAGGAGGAUAGUUUCCAAAAAGCAUGCCACACAGGGGCAAAGGUUCUCUUUCUAGAGCCCCUCCAGCCUAAUGGUUAUUUUUUAAUGCCCACUGCCUUCCCACUCUACGCCACACCAAAUGGCUUCCUCAGGCAGUGGGGCUGAGGAUCAGUUGGUGACCUUACUGCCUCCGCCUACCUGCCAGCCACCUGCCUGCCUAACUGGCCAUCCGCUGCCCCCUACCACUUCUUUCGCGCCCACCAUAUUCACCUUACUUGUGCUUUCAGUCUCCUCGUGGCUUCCCUUGGGGAGAACUGAUCUCGGCCGCCAUCUUGGAUCAUGCGGGAUUUCGUGGCUGCCUUCUUGGAUUACAUGAGAUUGUAGCUGGCCAUUCUUACAACAGCUUCUCUAUCCAGUGCCAUCUUCCUCCCCAGUCUCUUUCUUCACAGAAUAAAAAGUACACCCUAAGACCUGUAUGCCUCCUCUGACCUUGUCUAGGCAUAUUAGGUGGAUACUGAAAUUUCUUCCCUUCCACAGCAAACCAUACCAGCCUAACACUAGUCAGUAUUCCCUCCCUUCAAGAAAGGGGAUUCCAAGAUUAGGGCAUAGGUACAGUGGAACAUCACCCUGUUAGGAUGACUGACAUCAUGGAGAUACAAAAAUAAUAAAUAUGCUGAUCACUA